Molecule: ribosomal RNA, 465 nt
Filed under: uncultured bacterium
Lineage: Bacteria
Description: partial 16S ribosomal RNA
Rfam family: Bacterial small subunit ribosomal RNA
Source: RNAcentral
CUACGGGUCGCAGCAGUGGGGAAUAUUGGACAAUGGGGGAAACCCUGAUCCAGCAAUGCCGCGUGUGUGAAGAAGGCCUGCGGGUUGUAAAGCACUUUCGGUUGGGAGGACUGCUUCUAGCACUAAUAUUGUUGGAAGUUGACGUUACCUUCAGAAGAAGCACCGGCUAACUCCGUGCCAGCAGCCGCGGUAAUACGGAGGGUGCAGGCGUUAAUCGGAAUUACUGGGCGUAAAGCGCGCGUAGGCGGCUAGAUCAGUCGGGUGUGAAAGCCCCGGGCUUAACCUGGGAACUGCAUCCGAUACUGUCUAGCUUGAGUACAGGAGAGGGGAGUGGAAUUCCACAUGUAGCGGUGAAAUGCGUAGAUAUGUGGAGGAACACCAAUGGCGAAGGCAGCUCUCUGGCCUGAUACUGACGCUGAGGUGCGAAAGCGUGGGGAGCAAACAGGAUUAGAUACCCGCGUAGUC